This 497-nucleotide ribosomal RNA is filed under the name uncultured bacterium. Its description in RNAcentral is "bacterial SSU rRNA". It matches the Rfam family "Bacterial small subunit ribosomal RNA", at positions 28 to 507 of the family's 1533-position model. The record is from RNAcentral.
AAUGAACGCUGGCGGCGUGCCUAACACAUGCAAGUUGAGCGGUAAGGCCCCUUCGGGGGUACACGAGCAGCGAACGGGUGAGUAUCGCGUGGGUAAUCUACCUCGAGGUGGGGGAUAGCCCCGGGAAACCGGGGGUAAUACCGCAUGAGUCCUCGAUGACAUAAGUCUUCGAGGGGAAAGCGGGGCUCCUUCGGGACCUGUCGCCUCGGGAUGAGCCCGCGUCCGAUUAGCUUGUUGGUGGGGUAAUGGCCCACCAAGGCAACGAUCGGUAGCCGGCCUGAGAGGGUGAACGGCCACAUUGGGACUGAGACACGGCCCAGACUCCUACGGGAGGCAGCAGUGGGGAAUUUUGGGCAAUGGGGGAAACCCUGACCCAGCGACGCCGCGUGGAGGAUGACGGCCUUCGGGUUGUAAACUUCUGUCAGGAGGGAGGAAAUCUGGCGAGGCUAUCUUCGUCAGUUGACCUAUCUCCAGAGGAAGCACGGGCUAAGUUCGUG